Molecule: ribosomal RNA, 558 nt
Filed under: uncultured bacterium
Lineage: Bacteria
Description: bacterial SSU rRNA
Rfam family: Bacterial small subunit ribosomal RNA
Source: RNAcentral
AAUAGAUACCCCGGUAGUCCACGCCGUAAACGAUGGGUACUAGGUGUGGGAGUUGUCAUGACUUCCGUGCCGCCGUUAACACAAUAAGUACCCCGCCUGGGGAGUACGGUCGCAAGAUUAAAACUCAAAGGAAUUGACGGGGGCCCGCACAAGCAGCGGAGCAUGUGGUUUAAUUCGAAGCAACGCGAAGAACCUUACCUAGACUUGACAUCUCCUGAAUUACCCUUAACCGGGGAAGCCCUUCGGGGCAGGAAGACAGGUGGUGCAUGGUUGUCGUCAGCUCGUGUCGUGAGAUGUUGGGUUAAGUCCCGCAACGAGCGCAACCCUUAUUAUUAGUUGCUACCAUUAAGCUGAGCACUCUAGUAAGACUGCCCGGGUUAACCGGGAGGAAGGUGGGGAUGACGUCAAAUCAUCAUGCCCCUUAUGUCUAGGGCUACACACGUGCUACAAUGGUAGGUACAACAAGAUGCAAAGCCGUGAGGUGGAGCAAAACUGUAAAACCUAUCCCAGUUCGGAUUGAAGGCUGAAACUCGCCUUCAUGAAGCCGGAGUUGCUAGU